AGUGAACGCUGGCGGUAGGCCUAACACAUGCAAGUCGAACGGCAGCACAGUAAGAGCUUGCUCUUACGGGUGGCGAGUGGCGGACGGGUGAGGAAUACAUCGGAAUCUACUUUUUCGUGGGGGAUAACGUAGGGAAACUUACGCUAAUACCGCAUACGACCUACGGGUGAAAGCAGGGGAUCUUCGGACCUUGCGCGAUUGAAUGAGCCGAUGUCGGAUUAGCUAGUUGACGGGGUAAAGGCCCACCAAGGCGACGAUCCGUAGCUGGUCUGAGAGGAUGAUCAGCCACACUGGAACUGAGACACGGUCCAGACUCCUACGGGAGGCAGCAGUGGGGAAUAUUGGACAAUGGGCGCAAGCCUGAUCCAGCCAUACCGCGUGGGUGAAGAAGGCCUUCGGAUUGUAAAGCCCUUUUGUUGGGAAAGAAGAGCAGCAAGUUAAUACCCCGCUGUUCUGACGGUACCCAAAGAAUAAGCACCGGCUAACUUCGUG
Molecule: ribosomal RNA, 492 nt
Filed under: uncultured bacterium
Lineage: Bacteria
Description: partial 16S ribosomal RNA
Rfam family: Bacterial small subunit ribosomal RNA
Source: RNAcentral